UCUAUGCUGGACUGGGAAAUGUGUCUGCUUCUCAAAACACCUACAGUUUGAGCAGGUAUUAGGAGGCAUCUGUGAUCAGUGAACAUAGCAUGAAAGGUUAAAAUAGAUCUGUUGUUAAAUUAACAUUAAAAAAUCAGUAGUUUACAUAUUAUUGCUUAGUACAUAGAACAUUAGACAGCACUUACAAAGGAAUACAGCUUUUUAUUUUAAUAAGUCACAACGAACGUUGCUUUAAGGUGACCCAUAAUUAAUCCACAAUAAAGGGCAGUAAUAAAUCAGUCUGUAUAAUAACCUCUUGCCAACUUUCCGGCAAGCUGUUCUCUGUCUAUCCGUGACAUUGAUCUCACAUAGAAUAACAAGGCUGUGAUGGUUCGGAUCUAUCCUGCACUAUCCUAUACGUGAUUGGAAUUUCAAACAAAUUCCCAAACUACUUUAAAUUCUCAGCAAAAAUGUGAUAUUUCUGUAAUGGUCAUAGGUGCCAACUGUCUCGAUUCAGCUGGAAUAGUCCCAUCAGCAGGACUGAUUUCAGACUUGUAUUCCAAUCGUCUCCAGCUUUCACCACCACUAGACUAGCACCGUGCCUCAUUCACAUGGCAAAACAUUUAACAGCAUUACCAUGGUGGGGAGGUGGGUGGUUUAGGUAGGUAUGAAGGGCUUCAACCCAUGUGAACUAAGCUGCGUUACAUGUCCGCGUACUGUAUGUGGUCACUUUGGUAAAUGGCUCAACCAAGAGCAUGCAAAAUUUACAGGAUUCAUCGUACUACAUUUUUAUGUAGCUACAUAGCCAAAAUCAGUUGUUUCUUAUUUUAUUGGGACAUCUCGAAAACAG
Pelobates cultripes (western spadefoot toad) is the source of this 829-nucleotide non-coding RNA. Lineage: Eukaryota; Metazoa; Chordata; Amphibia; Anura; Pelobatidae. The record is from the annotation of a GenBank genome assembly.